RNAcentral lists this unclassified non-coding RNA (418 nucleotides) under soil metagenome. RNAcentral describes it as "partial contains 5.8S ribosomal RNA, internal transcribed spacer 2, and large subunit ribosomal RNA". The stretch from base 1 to 120 matches the Rfam family "5.8S ribosomal RNA", at positions 35 to 154 of the family's 154-position model. The record is from RNAcentral.
GAUGAAGAACGUAGUGAAAUGCGAUAAGUAAUGUGAAUUGCAGAAUUCAGUGAAUCAUUGAAUCUUUGAACGCAUCUUGCGCUCCUUGGUAUUCCUUGGAGCAUGCCUGUUUGAGUAUCAUGAGCAAAUCUCAAAGUCAAUUCCUUUUGUUGAUUCAAUUGGUUUUGCUUUGGACUUGGAGGCCUUGCAGAUUUCACAGUCUGCUCCUCUUAAAUGCAUUAGCUGGAUCUCAGUAAUUAUGCUUGGUUCCACUCGGCGUGAUAAGUAUCACUCGCUGAGGACACUGUUAAAAAGGUGGCCAGGAAAAUACUGAUUGAACCGCUUCUAACGGUCUAUUAAGUUAGACAAUUACCCUUAAGUUUGAUCUCAAAUCAGGUAGGACUACCCGCUGAACUUAAGCAUAUCAAUAAGCGGAGGA